AACGCUAGCUACAGGCUUAACACAUGCAAGUCGAGGGGCAUCAGGGUAGCAAUACCGCUGGCGACCGGCGCACGGGUGAGUAACACGUAUCCAACCUACCGUUAACUCGGGGAUAGCCUUUCGAAAGAAAGAUUAAUACCCGAUAGUAUAUUUUCUUCGCAUGUUGAAAAUAUUAAAGAAUUUCGGUUAUCGAUGGGGAUGCGUUCCAUUAGGCAGUUGGCGGGGUAACGGCCCACCAAACCUACGAUGGAUAGGGGUUCUGAGAGGAAGGUCCCCCACAUUGGAACUGAGACACGGUCCAAACUCCUACGGGAGGCAGCAGUGAGGAAUAUUGGUCAAUGGACGAAGGUCUGAACCAGCCAAGUAGCGCGAAGGAUGACUGCCCUAUGGGUUGUAAACUUCUUUUAUAUGGGAAUAAAGUUCUCCACGUGUGGAGUUUUGUAUGUACCAUUAUGAAUAAGCAUCGGCUAACUCCGUGCCAGCAGCCGCGGUAAUACGGAGGAUGCGAGCGUUAUCCGGAUUUAUUGGGUUUAAAGGGAGCGUAGGUGGACUGGUAAGUCAGUUGUGAAAGUUUGCGGCUCAACCGUAAAAUUGCAGUUGAUACUGUCAGUCUUGAGUACAGUAGAGGUGGGCGGAAUUCGUGGUGUAGCGGUGAAAUGCUUAGAUAUCACGAAGAACUCCGAUUG
RNAcentral lists this ribosomal RNA (686 nucleotides) under uncultured bacterium. RNAcentral's name for it is "bacterial SSU rRNA". It matches the Rfam family "Bacterial small subunit ribosomal RNA", at positions 32 to 715 of the family's 1533-position model. The record is from RNAcentral.